UACGAAGGGGGCUAGCGUUGUUCGGAAUCACUGGGCGUAAAGCGCACGUAGGCGGACGUUUAAGUCAGGGGUGAAAUCCCAGGGCUCAACCCUGGAACUGCCCUUGAUACUGGACGUCUCGAGUCCGGGAGAGGUGAGUGGAACUCCGAGUGUAGAGGUGAAAUUCGUAGAUAUUCGGAAGAACACCAGUGGCGAAGGCGGCUCACUGGCCCGGUACUGACGCUGAGGUGCGAAAGCGUGGGGAGCAAACAGGAUUAGAAACCCCAGUAGUCC
RNAcentral lists this ribosomal RNA (273 nucleotides) under uncultured bacterium. RNAcentral's name for it is "partial 16S ribosomal RNA". It matches the Rfam family "Bacterial small subunit ribosomal RNA", at positions 524 to 796 of the family's 1533-position model. The record is from RNAcentral.